GAUUGCUCUUAACAUCUGAAAAGAGGAACUUCUCAGGGAAACUGGUUUGAGGGCUUACCAGAAAGGGGACUAAGCUCUGUGAGGGCUUUGAGUGGUGACAGCCUGGUCCCCAUGAAUGGUACUUACUAGACAGCUACAAGAAGUCAAGGUUGUUGAGGUACUACGUGCUCUUCUAAAGAAGAGCUGCAGCAGUUUGAUCUCUGCAGGAGCCCUGAGAUGGACCCCUUAUCCAGGUGAUGGGAGAAGAGGGUCCUGGUCUGAGAAGGUCUUAGUGGGGAUAGGCCUGGAUGGAGAUGGAUGGACUCAGGAAAGAGGGCAGAUGACGGUCUAAAUGCUGCUGUUGAUUGGCAAAUUUUGAUUCCUGUUUCCUGAUUGGUACCAUAACACUGAUAUUCAAGGCUGUUGGAGUGUUGGGGAGAAGGGAAGAACAUGACACACUGGAUUACUGGAGCCAUGUUUCCCAUCCUCCCCCUGCAUCAACUGCUACCAUAGCUAUAUACAGGACAAUGGUGGAAGUCAAUAUCCGUUCAUGAUGGUUUGUGGGAAAGAAUCCAGAGGUGCAGAAUCCAAGCCUGUGAGCUCCUUGGAGUAGAGACCAUCCUUCUUGAAUGCUCAGAAAGCACGGAGUGCAGAGGUGUGAUAUAAAUUAUCAUCACCAUGGCAGAUCCCAAAGAGGCAUCACCUCCUUGUGGACUGAGUGCCAUCCAGCUCAAUAUGCAGGAUCCCAGAAUGGCCCUUUCACAAGACUUCAUUGGUCAUUUUCACCUCAGUGGCCAUUUGGGCCACAAGGACACAGGUGGUCAAUUUCAGAAUAAACUCCCUCAUGAUGUGAAGGUACAGACCCUGGAGGGUGCUAUUAUAAAUAAUACUCAUCAUCACUUUUUUUUCCCCCCAGAUGCUGAAAAUUUGGUAUGUUGUCUUUUUAGAUUUCAUCUUUCUUGUAAAGUAACAUCAUGGCUAUUGGUGAGAUUCUGUGCCGCGGCUCUGAGGCCCAGCACAGAGCUCUCAGCUCGGGAAGAGGGGCUGGGGGAGGGGUUCCUCCUUUGUGCCCAGGCUGCUCUGGGUCCUCCAGCUUAAUUUAGAAAGCUCUGGGGGGCUGUCUAAACUACAUCAGCCUCCUGGGCUACAGUACUGCCCAGAAUAUCUGUAGCAUCGUACACUGCAACCUUGCCCUGACACGCCCUUCGCUAUCCUGCCAGGCCUCCUACACUAGAGUUGGUGGUGGGGGUAAUUAGAGGGCAGCCUUACAGCUGUCAACCACAGUGCCUGCAGCAGGGAAAUCCUCCCCUGACUGGAUAUGAGGAUUUUAGGGCCCCUUUCUGCCAUGCCAGUCUCUUUAUCUGAUGUAAAGGAGCUGGAGUGGGAACGAGAUGGGGGGUGAGCUCACCUAUGUAUACUGAUAUACUCCAUGUGGACAGCUGGACAUUGCAAUAGAUAUUAAAUGUGUGUCAUUUUAAAUGGUGUUUAAAUGCCAUUAAAAAUGUGGGGAAAGUAAACCUAAUUUCCCCAUUUCUUGUUUGCUUUUAACUUAUAAUUAUUGUAUUGUUUAUUUCCAAAAAAAAGAAGAGAAAAUAACAUGCAUUCUAACCAAGCAAAAAGACAGUUCUUACCCUUGAAACCAAACGCUUCAUCAAGACCAGGCGAGAUGGCCCUUACCUGGCCUUCAGUCUGACAAUGAGAAGGUGCCAGUGUCUGGCAGGAACCUGAUUUGCUAAAGAGUCAGUGCUAGUGCUGUGAUCAGAUCUUGACAGAAUGUUUCCAUAAUGUUUGAUUUACUGUGAUCCGGGUUAUUAAUUUGACAUUCAGCCUUUAUGGAUGAUGCCAAAAUGAAGUCUGUGACUCUGCAUCUUAUAUUUCUAGCAAUGGCAAGGAAGACAAUGGGUAUAUUACUAAUGCAAUGGCUUAGUGAGGAUGAGUAAAAUGGUGUCCCUUUCUAAAUACUAGCACUAGGUGGUGCUAAUAAACCUUGCACAGAAUGGUUAAAUCUGAGUUACACAAAAUGUUAUGAAACAAAAAUCUAAACUAACA
Mauremys reevesii (Reeves's turtle) is the source of this 2028-nucleotide long non-coding RNA. RefSeq lists it as uncharacterized. The transcript has 4 exons. NCBI's taxonomy places the organism in Eukaryota, Metazoa, Chordata, Testudines, Geoemydidae. The record is from RefSeq and is a predicted model, not a curated record.